CAUCAUCCCAACACCUCUCCUGGAACUUCCCUCAGCAGGCUCUGAACGUUUGGAGAACCUUCUCUCACACUUAGAUCUGCAGGAGCUGGCACCUGGGAGGACACUAGGAAUUACCCUACCAACUAACCCUUGAGGUGGAAACUACUGACCCCGCUAUAAGUACAGCUCAGGCUGGGCCAGAAAGAG
This 186-nucleotide long non-coding RNA is filed under the name Chinchilla lanigera (long-tailed chinchilla). Its description in RNAcentral is "lncRNA (ENSCLAG00000028550.1)". The record is from RNAcentral. Lineage: Eukaryota; Metazoa; Chordata; Mammalia; Rodentia; Chinchillidae.